This 800-nucleotide ribosomal RNA is filed under the name uncultured Planctomycetota bacterium. RNAcentral's name for it is "bacterial SSU rRNA". It matches the Rfam family "Bacterial small subunit ribosomal RNA", at positions 46 to 832 of the family's 1533-position model. The record is from RNAcentral. Lineage: Bacteria; Pseudomonadati; Planctomycetota.
GGAUUAGGCAUGCAAGUCGAGCGAGAAAGCCCGCAAGGGUGAGAUAAAGCGGCGAAAGGGUGAGUAAUAUAUAGGCAAUCUACGCCUCGGACUGGGAUAAUUCCUGGAAACGGGUUGUAAUACCAGAUGGUCCAACGAGGUCGCAUGACCUUGUUUGUAAAUGGUAGCUUUGCUUCUGCCGAGGACGGAGCCUAUAUCCCAUUAGCUAGUUGGUAGGGUAACGGCCUACCAAGGCUGUGAUGGGUAGCCGGACUGAGAGGUUGGCCGGUCACACUGGGACUGAGACACUGCCCAGACUCCUACGGGAGGCUGCAGUCGAGAAUCUUCCGCAAUGGGCGCAAGCCUGACGGGGCGACGCCGCGUGGAUGACGAAGGCCUUCNGGUUGUAAAAUCCUGUCGCGAGGGAAGAACCGCUGGGGGUUAAUAGCCUUCCAGCCUGACGUUACCUCGAGAGGAAGCCAUGGCUAACUCCGUGCCAGCAGCCGCGGUAAUACNGAGAUGGCAAGCGUUGUUCGGAUUUACUGGGCAUAAAGCGCACGUAGGCGGAUCUACAAGUCGGUUGUGAAAUCCCGGGGCUCAACCCCGGAACUGCGGCCGAUACUAUAGAUCUAGAGCAUGAAAGGGGAGAGUGGAACUUCUGGUGGAGCGGUGAAAUGCGUAGAUAUCAGAAGGAACACCGGUGGCGAAAGCGACUCUCUGGUUCAUUGCUGACGCUGAGGUGCGAAAGCUAGGGGAGCAAACGGGAUUAGAUACCCCGGUAGUCCUAGCCGUAAACGAUGGGCACUAAGUAGAGGGGUUUU